AUGGAGGGCCGCUCAAGGGUGGGCCACAGUGACAGCAUAAUGGGGCGGGGUGGCGUGGAGCUGGAUGCCCUCAGCUGCCCUCGCCACACUUCUGUAAAGUCCACUCGCAGCUUUUCUCCUCUGCACCCAGCCCCACCCACCACUUCCUCCCUGAGCUCACAAGCUACUUCCCUCUGCAAGCACUGGGUAACUGUCACCCCCACAGCAGGAAUUGCAGGUCCUGGAGAGACAAGCUCACGAGGUCAGGUGGGGAUGGAGUUAAGUUGGGGGUGGGGGGGGACGGGGGUGGGCUUGGAACACAGGUGUGUGCAGUGUGCUGUAGUGGAAGUUUUGUAUUAUAGUUAUCCUGUUUCCAUUUUGGUAUACCCUAGCCAGAAUUGAAUGUAUUAGAUAAAAUGUGAUAAUCUUGUUCAAUCUGAAAACCCCUUUGCCUCCGUUUUUUUUACUUAAACAUUUUUAUGAUUUAGAUGGAAGUUGGUUUUUGUCAGUUAAUGUUGGUUCCAGUCCCUCAAACUGUUCAUACCUGCUUUAUAACAUCCACUGUACUAAUCCUUCUUCAAGUUGGGGUGGGGAGUGGAGGCACAGUUUAGUUACGUCCUCAAGAUAAAGUCUUGGUGAAAAACAAAUUAAUGUUCUUUAGUUAUAAAAAAAUAAAAAAUAAAACAAUAUGCCCUGAUUCA
Molecule: long non-coding RNA, 680 nt
Filed under: Bos indicus x Bos taurus (hybrid cattle)
Lineage: Eukaryota; Metazoa; Chordata; Mammalia; Artiodactyla; Bovidae
Description: lncRNA (ENSBIXG00000014463.1)
Source: RNAcentral